AUUGAACGCUGGCGGCAUGCUUUACACAUGCAAGUCGAACGGCAGCAUGGGUGCUUGCACCUGAUGGCGAGUGGCGAACGGGUGAGUAAUGUAUCGGAACAUAUCCGCAAGUGGGGGAUAACGUAGCGAGAGUUACGCUAAUACCGCAUAUUCCCUGAGGGGGAAAGGAGGGGAUCCGCAAGGACCUUUCGCUUACAGAGUGGCCGAUAUCAGAUUAGCUAGUUGGUGAGGUAAAGGCUAACCAAGGCGACGAUCUGUAGCGGGUCUGAGAGGAUGAUCCGCCACACUGGGACUGAGACACGGCCCAGACUCCUACGGGAGGCAGCAGUGGGGAAUUUUGGACAAUGGGGGCAACCCUGAUCCAGCCAUGCCGCGUGAGUGAAGAAGGCCUUCGGGUUGUAAAGCUCUUUCAGCCGGAAAAAAAUCGCAUCACCUAAUACGUGGUGUGGAUGAUGGUACCGGAAGAAGAAGCACCGGCUAACUACGUGCCAGCCGCCGCGAUAA
RNAcentral lists this ribosomal RNA (504 nucleotides) under uncultured bacterium. RNAcentral describes it as "partial 16S ribosomal RNA". It matches the Rfam family "Bacterial small subunit ribosomal RNA", at positions 30 to 523 of the family's 1533-position model. The record is from RNAcentral.